This 497-nucleotide ribosomal RNA is filed under the name uncultured bacterium. Its description in RNAcentral is "partial 16S ribosomal RNA". It matches the Rfam family "Bacterial small subunit ribosomal RNA", at positions 26 to 507 of the family's 1533-position model. The record is from RNAcentral.
GGGGGGGGGGGGGGGGGGGGGGGGGGCGGGGGGGGCGGGGGAGGGGAGGAGGAGGGGGCGCCUUUGGCGUGAGCGGGGGCCGGUUGGGGAACACGGAGGUAACCUACCGAUAAGACUUGACUAACUCCGGGAAACCGGGGCCCAUGCCGUAUACCAUUUCGAACCGCAUGGUUCGAAACGGAACGAUGGUUCUGUGAUCCCUUAUAGAUCGACCCGCGCCGCAGUAGCUCGUUGGUAAGGUAACGGCUUCCCAAGGCAACGAUGCGUCGCCGACCUGAAAGGGUGGUCGGCCACACUGGAACUGAGACACGCUCAAGACGCCUGCGGUAGGCAGCAGUAGGGAAUCUUCCGCAAUGGGCGAAAGCCUGACGGAGCAACGCCGCGUGAGUGAUGAUGGUCUUCGGAUCGUAAAACCCUGUUAUUAGGAAGGAACAAAUGGGUAAGUAACUGUGCACGGCUUGACGGUACCUAAUCAGAAAGCCACGGCUAACUACGUG